AAUCCGGUCAAAGUUCAACACAAGCAUGGCGUCGCAAAAAGACCUCAGAGUACGAAGUGUCUUCAAACCCGGUCUGUUCGCCGGGAAGGUGGCGGUAGUGACGGGCGGAGGGACGGGGAUAGGGCUGGCAAUCACCAAGGAACUCCUCAGUCUCGGGUGCAAAGUGGUGAUAGCCUCUCGGAAGAAGGACCGUCUCCAGGCAGCAGCAGACCAGCUGGCUGCAUGUAUCCCACCUGGAAGUACAGCCCAGGUCAAGGCCAUUCCCUGCAACAUCAGGAAAGAAGAUGAGGUAGCAAAACUACUAGGUUUAAACUCACUCACUCACUCUCUCGCCCGCCCGGUGAGGCUAUGGGACACAUACUCAGUGCAAAUGACCAUAGUGUCUGAGUUCGGUCGGCUGGAUUUCCUGGUGAAAAUGGUGGAGGCCAGUUCCAGAGUCCCGUGUCAGCGCUCAGUCUGAAGGGAUGGAACGCUGUGGUUGACACUAACCUCAACGGAACAUUCCUGUGUCUUAGAGAAGCAUACAAUGCCUGGAUGGCAGAGAAUGGAGGAGCUGUGGUCAACAUUGUCCUGCUCAUAUCUAAAGGAAGACCAGGAAUAGCACACUCCGCUGCGGCCCGCGCUGGUAUUGACAACCUCAGCAAAAGUCUGGCUGUAGAAUGGGCUGAAAAUGGGAUCAGGAUCAACUGUGUGGCACCUGGGUCCAUCUACAAUGUCACAGCGGCUGAAAACUACAAGGCUAUCGGAGACGUUUUUGCUCAUGCCAUCCCUCUGACACCUGCAAAAAGAAAUGGCACCACAGAAGAGGUGUCUGCAGCUGUCACCUUCUUGUUAUCCCCUGCUGCUGCCUUCAUCACUGGAGAGACCAUCAAAGUGGAUGGAGGAUGGGACUUGUUCCAAGUUUCUUGGCCGAUACCAGAACAUGACAAGAUGCCAGCAUACGACUGGGAAAAGAUCAUUGAGGAAGAAGACAAACUCAAGUCAAAACUUUGAGAAAAAAAUGGCUAUUGUUUUAUUCACAAGUCAUUAUACAAUAUUCAAUACAACAAUAUGAAUAAUGACCCAAUCUGUUUCAUAUACAUGAUAUAGUAUUACUGUUCUGCAAUUAA
RNA transcript from Branchiostoma floridae (Florida lancelet), 1109 nucleotides. It is a transcript of the gene named peroxisomal trans-2-enoyl-CoA reductase-like, with no coding region annotated. NCBI's taxonomy places the organism in Eukaryota, Metazoa, Chordata, Leptocardii, Amphioxiformes, Branchiostomatidae. The record is from RefSeq and is a predicted model, not a curated record. The transcript has 9 exons.